This is a small nucleolar RNA of Rana temporaria (common frog), 135 nucleotides long. RefSeq annotates it as small nucleolar RNA SNORA22. NCBI's taxonomy places the organism in Eukaryota, Metazoa, Chordata, Amphibia, Anura, Ranidae. The record is from RefSeq and is a predicted model, not a curated record. The transcript has a single exon.
AAGCACAGAGAACACCCAAGUGUGAUAUAUAGCACCCUUGGCAGCAAAUCUGUGCAAGAUUAAUGACUGUCCUUUUCCUCUGCGUCUGGUGAAAAUAACCAUUCACGGGCACGUAUUCAUAAGUACAGUACAUAG